Molecule: ribosomal RNA, 492 nt
Filed under: uncultured bacterium
Lineage: Bacteria
Description: partial 16S ribosomal RNA
Rfam family: Bacterial small subunit ribosomal RNA
Source: RNAcentral
AGUGAACGCUGGCGGUGGGCCUAAUACAUGCAAGUCGAACGAAAGCACAGUAAGAGUGUGCCCUUACGGGUGGCGAGGGGCGGAUGGGUGAGGAGUAGAUCGGAAACCAAUAUGUCGGGGGGGAUAACGUAGGGAAGGUGACGAUAAUAGAGAAUACGAUGUACGGGAGAAAGCAGGAGAGAAACGGAGUUUGGGCGUCUGAAAGAGCCGAUGCCGCAUUAGCUAGUUGGCGGGGUAAGGGAACACCAAGGCGACGAUCCGUAGCGGGUCUGAGAGGAUGAUCGGCCACACUGGAACUGAGACACGGUCCAGACUCCUACGGGAGGCAGCAGUAGGGAAUAUUCCGCAAUGGGCGCAAGCCUGAUCCAGCCAUACCGCGUGAGUGAUGAAGGCCUUCGGGUCGUAAAGCCCUUUUAUUAGGGAAGAACAGCUGCGUGUUUAUCCCCCCCUGUUCUGACGGUACCCAAUGAGUAAGCCCCGGCUAACUUCGUG